CCUACGGGUGGCAGCAGUGGGGAAUAUUGGGCAAUGGGCGCAAGCCUGACCCAGCAACGCCGCGUGAAGGAAGAAGGCUUUCGGGUUGUAAACUUCUUUUCUCAGGGACGAAGCAAGUGACGGUACCUGAGUAAUAAGCCACGGCUAACUACGUGCCAGCAGCCGCGGUAAUACGUAGGUGGCAAGCGUUAUCCGGAUUUACUGGGUGUAAAGGGCGUGUGGGCGGGAAAGCAAGUCAGCUGUGAAAUCCAUGGGCUCAACCUGAGUCCUGCAUUUGAAACUGUUUUUCUUGAGUACUGGAGAGGCAGACGGAAUUCCUGGUGUAGCGGUGAAAUGCGUAGAUAUUAGGAGGAACACCAGUGGCGAAGGCGGUCUGCUGGACAGCAACUGACGCUGAGGCGCGAAAGCGUGGGGAGCAAACAGGAUUAGAUACCCCAGUAGUC
Molecule: ribosomal RNA, 443 nt
Filed under: uncultured bacterium
Lineage: Bacteria
Description: partial 16S ribosomal RNA
Rfam family: Bacterial small subunit ribosomal RNA
Source: RNAcentral